UGUACGACAAUGGAGACCACAUCUACAGA
This 29-nucleotide small RNA is filed under the name Bombyx mori (domestic silkworm). RNAcentral's name for it is "ovarian small RNA-2284". Lineage: Eukaryota; Metazoa; Arthropoda; Insecta; Lepidoptera; Bombycidae. The record is from RNAcentral.